UCUUCGGCCAUCGCCAUCCUCCCCGGGCGGGAGGAAGCCGGAGGCCGGCCGGCGGUGGCUGCCAUUGGCCGGGGAGCGGCGGCGGCAGCUGCAGGACACAAUUAAUUAUGCUAAUGGCGUGGGGAGCGGAUGUACUUUCUUCCCCCCUUUAUUCCCCGCUCUGUUUUUGGCUGGUCGGUGCGGGAAGGAGCCGCCCUGGCCGCGAUCACAUGAUAUUGUCUUCGCGCCACUUUCGUAAAACCCUUUUUAUUCCAGGGCUGCGCUCGGGCUCAAAGGUACCACUGGCUCCCGAGCUUCAGUCAAGGCGCUUGUGUGAUGCUGUGGCUGUGCUGAAACAAGAAGAGCUUUUAAAGAAGAGUGUGUCUCUGGUGAUGAUGGGCCUUGAGUUGUGCAAAAGUGCUUACAGUGCAGGUAGAGUUCAGGAUCUACUGCAGUAUAAGCACUUCUGGCAUUACUGUGGCGAUGCGGUGAUGGUAGCGGGGCAUGGACGUAACCAGGAUUGUUGUUUGGCCACCUUAGGGCUGCAUUGUGAACGGUUCUUGUGUUAAGGUGCAUCUAGUGCAGUUAGUGAAGUAGCGUAGAAUCUACUGCCCUAAAUGCUCCUUCUGGCACAAGCUGCUGCCUGCACAUCCAGAACACCCCCAGUGCAUCCAUCUGGCUCUAGCCCAGCAAGUUCUAGUUCAAGUGGUGCUGUUAUUGAAGGCACUGCUCGGGAAGUAGUUUUGUCCUAGCAGUAUCAAAGUGCUCAUAGUGCAGGUAGCUUGGAAUUGGACCUACUGUAAUGUGGGCACUUACAGUACUGCUAGAUAAAGCGCAUCCUUAGCUAGGGGCAGGCUCUGGAGAAGAUGGUGCUGAUUACAGUCAGUUUUGCAGGUUUGCAUCCCAGCUUGCUAAGAUCGCUGUGCAAAUCCAUGCAAAACUGACUGUGGUGGUGGUGAAUCUGUGGUGGAUGAUGGGGUUUGAAGCUUCCCUUCCUCCCCUCUCUUUUUGUGUUCCAUGGAAGAUGUGAAGGUGCCUUGCGCUGGUUUCUCCAUGGGUGGGGAUUUGUUGCAUUACUUGUAGCUAUAUGUAGAGUAUUGCACUUGUCCCGGCCUGUGGAGGAAAGGAGGACUUGUCUUCAGGCUGCGCUGCCCCGACCCGGCCAGCGCUUUGCUGAGCUCUGUUUUGCUGUUGUCGGGUGGAUCACGAUGCAAUUUUGAUUAGUUUGGUAGGAGAAAAAUUGCACGGUAUCCAUCUGUAAACCGCAGGACCUUCAUCGCUGACAGCGUUGCUCUUGUCAGUCCUCACUUCCCACAGCGGAGGCUGUAGGCAUUGGGAUGGCUCGCUGGUGACUCCGCAGCUUGAAGGGAUGGGAACAAAGAAACUUCUCCAGAUGCUGAGGUUUGUCUACCAUGGAAAGGGAAUAAAA
Neopsephotus bourkii (Bourke's parrot) is the source of this 1408-nucleotide long non-coding RNA. RefSeq lists it as uncharacterized. NCBI's taxonomy places the organism in Eukaryota, Metazoa, Chordata, Aves, Psittaciformes, Psittacidae. The record is from RefSeq and is a predicted model, not a curated record. The transcript is spliced from 2 exons.